RNAcentral lists this ribosomal RNA (460 nucleotides) under uncultured bacterium. RNAcentral's name for it is "partial 16S ribosomal RNA". It matches the Rfam family "Bacterial small subunit ribosomal RNA", at positions 338 to 795 of the family's 1533-position model. The record is from RNAcentral.
CCUACGGGAGGCAGCAGUGAGGAAUAUUGGUCAAUGGGCGCGAGCCUGAACCAGCCAAGUCGCGUGAGGGAAGACGGCCCUACGGGUUGUAAACCUCUUUUGCCGGGGAGCAACGGGCGCCACGUGUGGCGCCACUGAGAGUACCCGGAGAAAAAGCAUCGGCAACCUCCGGGCCAGCAGCCGCGGUAAUAGGGGGGAUGCGAGCGUUAUCCGGAUUUGUUGGGUUUAAAGGGUGCGUAGGCGGAGCGUUAAGUCAGUGGUAAAAUUGAGGGGCUCAACCCCUUCCCGCCAUUGAAACUGGCGCUCUUGAGUGGAAGAGAAGUAUGCGGAAUGCGUGGUGUAGCGGUGAAAUGCAUAGAUAUCACGCAGAACCCCGAUUGCGAAGGCAGCAUGCCGGCUUCCUACUGACGCUGAAGCACGAAAGCGUGGGGAUCGAACAGGAUUAGAUACCCCUGUAGUC